GUGCUUGUUUGGUGUCACAUGUACCAAUAUUUAAUCUGCACAGAGAAGAUUAGUAUGGCCCAGGGACAAGAUGACACACAAAUCCAUGGAGAUAUCAGAUGUUCUG
This is a small nuclear RNA of Megalobrama amblycephala (Wuchang bream), 106 nucleotides long. NCBI's taxonomy places the organism in Eukaryota, Metazoa, Chordata, Actinopteri, Cypriniformes, Xenocyprididae. The record is from RefSeq and is a predicted model, not a curated record.